This 246-nucleotide ribosomal RNA is filed under the name uncultured Helicobacter sp. RNAcentral describes it as "partial 16S ribosomal RNA". It matches the Rfam family "Bacterial small subunit ribosomal RNA", at positions 75 to 336 of the family's 1533-position model. The record is from RNAcentral. Lineage: Bacteria; Pseudomonadati; Campylobacterota; Epsilonproteobacteria; Campylobacterales; Helicobacteraceae.
CUAGCUUGCUAGGCGGAUUAGUGGCGCACGGGUGAGUAACGCAUAGAUGACAUGCCCUUUAGUUUGGGAUAGCCACUAGAAAUGGUGAUUAAUACCAAAUACCACCCUAUGGGGGAAAGAUUCAUCGCUAAAGGAUUGGUCUAUGUCCUAUCAGCUUGUUGGCGGGGUAAGAGCCCACCAAGGCAAUGACGGGUAUCCGGCCUGAGAGGGUGAACGGACACACUGGAACUGAGACACGGUCCAGAC